Molecule: ribosomal RNA, 255 nt
Filed under: uncultured bacterium
Lineage: Bacteria
Description: partial 16S ribosomal RNA
Rfam family: Bacterial small subunit ribosomal RNA
Source: RNAcentral
UACGGAGGGGGCUAGCGUUAUUCGGAAUUAUUGGGCGUAAAGGGCGCGUAGGCGGCCCGGUAAGUCAAAGGUGAAAUCCCUCGGCUCAACUGAGGAACUGCCUUUGAAACUGUCGGGCUUGAGGCCGGGAGGGGGGUAGCGGAAUUCCCAGUGUAGCGGUGAAAUGCGUAGAUAUUGGGAGGAACACCAGUGGCGAAGGCGGCUACCUGGACCGGUUCUGGACGCUGAUACGCGAAAGCGUGGGUAGCAAACAGG